This 544-nucleotide ribosomal RNA is filed under the name uncultured archaeon. RNAcentral describes it as "bacterial SSU rRNA". It matches the Rfam family "Archaeal small subunit ribosomal RNA", at positions 326 to 869 of the family's 1478-position model. The record is from RNAcentral.
CGGGGUGCAGCAGGCGCGAAAACUUUACAAUGCGGGAAACCGUGAUAAGGGGACAUCGAGUGCCAGCAUCAUAUGCUGGCUGUCCAGAGUGUGUAAAAUACACCUCAUAGCAAGGGCCGGGCAAGACCGGUGCCAGCCGCCGCGGUAACACCGGCGGCCCGAGUGGUGAUCGUGAUUAUUGGGUCUAAAGGGUCCGUAGCCGGCUUGGUCAGUCCUCCGGGAAAUCAGAUAGCUCAACUAUUAGGCUUUCGGGGGAUACUGCCAGGCUUGGAACCGGGAGAGGUAAGAGGUACUUCAGGGGUAGGAGUGAAAUCUUGUAAUCCCUGAGGGACCACCAGUGGCGAAGGCGUCUUACCAGAACGGAUUUGACGGCGAGGGACGAAAGCUGGGGGCACGAACCGGAUUAGAUACCCGGGUAGUCCCAGCCGUAAACGAUGCUCGCUAGGUGUCAGGCAUGGCGCGACCGUGUUUGGUGCCGCAGGGAAGCCGUGAAGCGAGCCACCUGGGAAGUACGGCCGCAAGGCUGAAACUUAAAGGAAUUGGC